GUAAGAUAAGCUAAAUUAAGCUUUUGGGCCCAUACCCCGAAUAUGUUGGCGAAAAUCCAUCUCUUACUA
Molecule: transfer RNA, 69 nt
Filed under: Hypselotriton orientalis (oriental fire-bellied newt)
Lineage: Eukaryota; Metazoa; Chordata; Amphibia; Caudata; Salamandridae
Description: tRNA-Met
Source: RNAcentral